CUAAACUACUUUUUACUUUAUCGUCGUCUCCGUCGCAUCUUCUUCGAUGUCUCUCCCAUAGAUCUCAUCUUCUUCUCAAAAUUACUCAAGAACUUCACCGAGGUUGUAAAUCUGAAGACUCCGAAAGUCACGAUCACCCGGUUAUGAUUCGAUUUUUUGUAUAACAGAACUGUAAUGGCUGAUAGGCGAUUGGCGAUCACCGAUGUAAAAAAAUCUUCAAGCUCUCACCAAAUGUAAAAGUGUACCAAAAUGAAGGAGAUUCCUAAGUUGUCAUAUUGUAUAACAUAGAAGGAGAGACUGCAACAGAAGAAGGAAGAUAGUAGAAUCAUUGUCUUGCCAAUCAGGUCGUGUAGCUUGCCUUUAUGUAGUACUUAUAAAAGCCAGAAAUGUCAUGUUUGACUACAAAAUUUUCAAUGACUAACAAAAGAAAAUUAACACCUCGUCUUUGUAUGUUUUCAUGUCGUCAAUGUGUCAUUGAUAAGAAUUGUUAGAGUGUUGGAGAAGAAAGCUCUGUAACCGGAGGAUCACAAUUACCAAACAUCAUUUCCAACAUUGCGGUGAAACAAAGGUACAUGCCCAGCAGUACCAGAAGCAACAGGGGAAAUCAACUACUAUUCUCAGAAGAUCCUGCACACUUGGAACGCUCAAUCCGCAAAGACCUACGCUCUGCAUCUAUCGACAGAACCGCAGUACCGUCGACUGAUAUCCACUUUCAACUGUCGACCGAGACUCAGACAUCACCGUCUACCGAUAUCGUCCGCCGAUCUACAUCGAUCGAUACUACUCACCGUACAUCGAUCGGCACUAACCCGCGAAGCAUGGUUGCGAUUGUUAUUCUCACGCAGGACCAGAAUGGAAACCUGUAUGACCAAGAUGGUCAUCUGCGUAAUGCAAUAUGUCAGAAGCUAGAUGCACAGGGAAACAUAAUCCAUGAGCCUGAAGCUGAGGCUACAUGAGAAGCUCAAACACAAUCGUUGACAGAUUACAAUCGUCCAGACGAGUACUAAACCAACAUAUCAGCUAUUCGACUUCCAGAGAUUCAGAAGCCGAACUUCGAGCUCAAGCCUCAGUACUACUCUCUCGUGUCUCAAAUACUUUAUUCUGGGUUAUCACAUGAGCAUCCUAUGGACCGUCUGUAGAGGUUCGAGGAUCUUAUCGCUGCUAUUCGUAUGGAUGGAGUCCUUGAGGAUUACCUACUCUGCAAGCUCUUCAAAUACUCACUGAUUGGAGAAGUUUCACUCUGGCUCAAGUAGCUACCUACAAGAUCACUGACUUCCUGGGCCAACAUCGAAAACGCCUUCCUGCGUAAUUUCUUUGAUGAGGCACGCGCUGAAGACUUAAGGAGCAAAAUCGCCACUUUCGCGCAGAAGCCUGGUGAGACUUUUAAAGACGCGUGGAUCAGAUUUAAGUUCUUCCAGCAAGACUGUCCACACCAUGGAUUCAAUAAGUGCAGCUGCUAAGCACUUUCUACAGAGGUAUCGUCUUGAGGUAUCAGAUGGCUCUUGAUACAAGGAGAACUUUAACACCAGGAAUCCAAUAGAGACUGUGAGACUUAUUGAGAACCUAGCCAACAGCAGCAGCACCAAGAACACUGACUCUGAUAAGAAGAAAUCGGUUGCAGCCAUCGGGGAAGACCAGAUGAAUGAAGUCAGAGCCAAGAUAGAUGCUUUACAUGCAUUUCUGGGGCAGCCAUUCUGCUCAGCUGAAGAAGGAGAGGCUAGAGAAGAUGAUACAGAGGGAGAUGUGAACUAAAUUGGAGGUACUGAAUUUCAGAGAUAUAGAAACCAGAGUGGAAACAAAAACUUCUUUGGCAGUGGUCAGAAGAGUAACUACAACCAGAGUUCACAAUAUCAGAAAACCUUCACCAACACCAGGAACUAUGACAACUCAGCUUACCUAAACCCACCACCACCCACCCAGGAGAGUAUGUUUGAUGCCAUGAUUGAUAGAGUUCUAGAAGGUCAGCAGAAGCUUACAGUAGACUUCAAUGGGAAGAUUGACUCUGUCUUCAACAAUUUGACCACAAGGAUAGACACCAUUUGCACUCAAGUUAAGAAACUUGAGACACAGAUUGUCCAGACUGAGGAUUCUAUCAGGAGAAUUGGAAACUCUAAGGAAGUAGGGGAAAAAAGCUGGAAACACCACGUGAAUGCCAUUAUAGAUGAUGAUUUCUGGCAAGUGGUGAAGCAUGAGAAGCUACAAGAAGGAGACUUUGAAGUGGAAAGUUAACUAAGUUUCGGAGGAUCACAAUGGUGUCGAUCUACACCAACUAGUCCACAUCGAUCGACACCAACGAUGUCAUUUCCGGAUACGCCUGCAGAUUGCAACGCGGUUAGGAUAUUGACACAUGCUGAAUUCACGGCUUCGCAUCCUCACCCACCCACCCAUACCUACGAAGAUAUCGACCGUAUAGACGAGCCACUCAUCGAUCGACACAAAGAUGAGAAACGUAUCGAUCGACACUUUUCUCCACCUAUCGAUCGACACGCACCUCUCACAUACCGAGUGCAACUACCAUCGAUAGACAUCAACCAAAUCAAUGCACUCAGACCCGCACCGAAACCACAAGCUAACCCUAUAGAGACUACUGGUAACCCUUCAGACACUACACCUACACCAGAGGGAACUGAAGGAAGAAGAUUAAGGAGUAGGAAGGAGAAGACUCCUAAGAACCUUAAGAGGGAAGCUAAUGAAAAGGAGAUUGAUGGUUUCACUAAGAGAGUUAUAAUCAGAAUCCCACCAGAGAAACCCUUUG
This is a long non-coding RNA of Raphanus sativus (radish), 2755 nucleotides long. RefSeq lists it as uncharacterized. The transcript has 4 exons. The record is from RefSeq and is a predicted model, not a curated record. Lineage: Eukaryota; Viridiplantae; Streptophyta; Magnoliopsida; Brassicales; Brassicaceae.